CCUACGGGAGGCAGCAGUAGGGAAUCUUUCACAAUGGGCGAAAGCCUGAUGGAGCAACGCCGCGUGCAGGAUGAAGGCCUUCGGGUUGUAAACUGCUUAUAUAAGCGAGAAAUAUGAUGGUAACUUAUGAAUAAGGAGCGGCUAACUACGUGACAGCAGCCGCUGUCAUACGUAGGAUCCGAUCAUUAUCCGGAGUGACUGGGUGUAAAGAGUUGCGUAGGUGGCAUAAUAAGUAGCUAGUGAAAUCUGGUGGCUCAACCAUUCAGACUAUUAGCUAAACUGUUAAGCUCGAGACCGUUAGGGGUAACUGGAAUUUCUAGUGUAGGAGUGAAAUCCGUAGAUAUUAGAAGGAACACCAAUAGCGUAGGCAGGUUGCUGGGACGGUUCUGACACUAAGGCACGAAAGCGUAGGGAGCAAACGGGAUUAGAUACCCGAGUAGUC
This 442-nucleotide ribosomal RNA is filed under the name uncultured bacterium. RNAcentral's name for it is "partial 16S ribosomal RNA". It matches the Rfam family "Bacterial small subunit ribosomal RNA", at positions 338 to 795 of the family's 1533-position model. The record is from RNAcentral.